Long non-coding RNA from Scylla paramamosain (green mud crab), 959 nucleotides. RefSeq lists it as uncharacterized. The record is from RefSeq and is a predicted model, not a curated record. Lineage: Eukaryota; Metazoa; Arthropoda; Malacostraca; Decapoda; Portunidae. The transcript has 5 exons.
CAGGCGUGGAAGCGUCUUUGUGAUGGCUGUCAGGCAGACCUGAGCCAGUUCUGCCGCUGUACACUCCGUGGAUCGUUCAUCCUACUACUGUUUUAUGUCAUGUGACUACGUCUCUUGAACGCUUGGAUUUGGUGGAGCAAGGUGGCCAGGGUGUGGGGCCAGUGCAAGUGAUCUCAGGACUGCUUUGGGCUCCAUAGGACCAGUGAUGAGUGCCGAUGUAAAGGACUGGCUUGUGAGAAAUCCUGAGCCUCCUGUAAGAUCAAGACCAAGAUCAAGAUAGGGCCUUCCGUAGGUCCGCUUUCUGAAGCACAGUGUCAACAUGUCUCCUCUAAUUUAAAACCUUGGAUCAGCAGAGGAGUCGACACCACACAGCUCUGCGCUCUUCCCCUGUGUCUCAGCAACACUGCGCUGACACUGUCUGUCAGAUGAAGGAAGGAGACAGCAAGCGAGGGGUUGAGGCUUCAGGGAGUUUUGACUCGUUAAGCAGGAUGGAUAUAAACCAGCCUCCAGCCAUUCAGCCUCCAGCCACUCAGCCAGCCAGCCAGCCUCUAUCCAGUCAGCCAGCCAGCCAGCCAGCCUCGAGCCAACCAGCCAGCCAUCAACCCAGCCAGCCACCUAUCCAGCCUCAAGGUGUCACGUAGCCUCACGUGACAUGAAGACACUGUUUGGAAUUGCUGUUGGGGAAAGUAGCUGGAGCAGAGAUGCGUAUGCUUGUCUGAUAUUCCACGUGACUGCCGCGUAAGGAGACGAGUCUGGUACGCACGCCCACGCCCACAGCUCUCCUCUCUGCCGCCUGACCGGCGCAGGAACGAGCCACUCAGCCCCUCUUGCCGGCUCCCACAGGCAUCAUCAUUAUUAAGACUCGGAAUUUUUUUGUAUUCGUGGCAUAAAAGACCAUGUUUUUUUUUUCGUUUUUUUUUGUAUUUACGCUCAAUAAAUGACUAAGAUUGCUUGUAAUU